Molecule: ribosomal RNA, 399 nt
Filed under: uncultured bacterium
Lineage: Bacteria
Description: bacterial SSU rRNA
Rfam family: Bacterial small subunit ribosomal RNA
Source: RNAcentral
GGGAAUAUUGGACAAUGGGCGCAAGCCUGAUCCAGCCAUGCCGCGUGAGUGAUGAAGGCCCUAGGGUUGUAAAGCUCUUUCACCGGUGAAGAUAAUGACGGUAACCGGAGAAGAAGCCCCGGCUAACUUCGUGCCAGCAGCCGCGGUAAUACGAAGGGGGGCUAGCGUUGUUCGGAAUUACUGGGCGUAAAGGGCACGUAGGCUGGCUGUUAAGUCGGGGGUGAAAUCCUGAGGCUCAACCUCAGAAUUGCCUCCGAUACUGGCGGUCUCGAGUGCGGGAGAGGUGAGUGGAAUUCCCAGUGUAGAGGUGAAAUUCGUAGAUAUUGGGAAGAACACCAGUGGCGAAGGCGGCUCACUGGCCCGCAACUGACGCUGAGGUGCGAAAGCGUGGGGAGCAAA